CCUACGGGAGGCAGCAGUGGGGAAUAUUGGUCAAUGGCCGAGAGGCUGAACCAGCCAAGUCGCGUGAGGGAAGAAUGUCCUAUGGAUUGUAAACCUCUUUUGUCAGGGAGCAAAGUCACCCACGUGUGGGUGUUGGAGAGUACCUGAAGAAAAAGCAUCGGCUAGCUCCGUGCCAGCAGCCGCGGUAAUACGGAGGAUGCGAGCGUUGUCCGGAUUUAUGGGGUUUAAAGGGUGCGUAGGCGGGUUAUCAAGUCAGCGGUAAAAUCGUGGAGCUCAACUCCAUCCAGCCGUUGAAACUGAUGAUAUGGAGUGGGCGAGAAGUAGGCGGAAUGCGUGGUGUAGCGGUGAAAUGCAUAGAUAUCACGCAGAACUCCGAUGGCGAAGGCAGCAUACCGGCGCCCGACUGACGCUGAAGCACGAAAGCGUGGGUAGCGAACAGGAUUAGAUACCCGGGUAGUC
RNAcentral lists this ribosomal RNA (459 nucleotides) under uncultured bacterium. RNAcentral describes it as "partial 16S ribosomal RNA". It matches the Rfam family "Bacterial small subunit ribosomal RNA", at positions 338 to 795 of the family's 1533-position model. The record is from RNAcentral.